UACGUAGGGGGCAAGCGUUGUCCGGAAUUAUUGGGCGUAAAGAGCGUGUAGGCGGUCCGGUAAGUCGGCUGUGAAAGUCCAGGGCUCAACCCUGGGAUGCCGGUCGAUACUGCCGGACUAGAGUUCGGAAGAGGCGAGUGGAAUUCCCGGUGUGGCGGUGAAAUGCGCAGAUAUCGGGAGGAACACCUAUGGCGAAGGCAGCUCGCUGGGACGUUACUGACGCUGAGACGCGAAAGCGUGGGGAGCAAACAGG
Molecule: ribosomal RNA, 253 nt
Filed under: uncultured bacterium
Lineage: Bacteria
Description: partial 16S ribosomal RNA
Rfam family: Bacterial small subunit ribosomal RNA
Source: RNAcentral